UACGUAGGUGGCGAGCGUUGUCCGGAAUUACUGGGUGUAAAGGGCGUGCAGGCGGGAAUGUAAGUCAGAUGUGAAAACCCACGGCUUAACUGUGGGAUUGCAUCUGAAACUACGUUUCUUGAGUGCUGGAGAGGAAAGCGGAAUUCCCAGUGUAGCGGUGAAAUGCGUAGAUAUUGGGAGGAACACCAGUGGCGAAGGCGGCUUUCUGGACAGUAACUGACGCUGAGGCGCGAAAGCGUGGGGAG
This 245-nucleotide ribosomal RNA is filed under the name uncultured bacterium. Its description in RNAcentral is "partial 16S ribosomal RNA". It matches the Rfam family "Bacterial small subunit ribosomal RNA", at positions 524 to 768 of the family's 1533-position model. The record is from RNAcentral.